CCCUAAGUAUGGCGCGUUUAAUAUUUUAUUUUUAGGCUUCACUAAUUUUACGUAGUUUUCGAAUCUCACCAAUGGAAAAAAAUAAAAAGACGAGCUUCAGAACUCAAAGUAUUAAAAGAUUUUUAUCGCCGCAGCCUUCAAAUAUUCCGUGUAAAAAGCCCCGCAAGGCGAGUGUUAAGAUUGGCCCCAAAAGCAAGGUGCGCGGAGCUUGUCUCGUUGCGCAGAAUGAUGAAAAUUUUGACGAAAUGGGCGAGAGGAAAACUGACAGCAAUAAUGGUGUUGCGGGUCAAAAUGAGCCCCACGAUUCCAGCACCACUUGCGCAUCAGAGCACAAAUUCGAUUGGAAUAGCUUUGUGCGGGAUCCUGGGGAGCUUAGCGAAGCACGUUAUCCUGUCACAUUAAAUACCUUUAAAACAAUGACAUACAGUAUUAAUGUCGCCCAACGCAUACUUGAGGACAUUAAAAAUGCUACCGGCCUCGACUUCUUGAGCGAUCAAUUUAUGGUAGACAGAGUUUUGAAAAAUUAUUACAAAUAUUUUUAUGAGCAACCACAAAUUCGUGAUAUGUAUAAGCUGGAGACAAAAGCGUGCCCGGUGUUUGUAAAAAAGAAAAUAAUGCAGAUACCAAAAUUAGAUGGAAAGGGGGGAGUUGCAAGUACAGUAGAAGCAGAGAAUUCUGAUGAUACCAAUAAAUCAAUCCAAGUCCAGCCAGCUGAGCACGUAGGUCAAGUGGUCAAACCAAAGAAAUUCGAGCUGGUGGAAGCACAAUCCACGAAAACGCAAGCAAACAGCCUAUCACCACAAAGUACAAGUCCAUUCAGAACCAUAAAUCGUAGGAAUAUAAUAUUCAUUGCGAAAAGAACAGAUCUUGCUGAAUCAAAUUUAUUACUCAACCAUAUUAGGCGUCAUGUCCAAGAUGUUGAAAAACAACAAGAGAUAUUGGAAAGAAUUAAAAUUGACGUUUUUCGACAAACGAAACAAACUCAACAUAAUCUAUCAGAUCAUAAUGUGGAAGAAAAAAUGUGUUUGGAUGAGUCUGAGGAAGAGUUGUCUAACAUUACUGUAAGCUCUCCAAACACAACCACUUUAAACUUGGCAAGGCAGCGCAUUCAAGACGCCAAAGAAUUAUUUUUUCGUGAAUACGAUAAGUCAAAUACACUUGCAUAUGCAUUACGUUUCCACCAAGGCCUCAAGCGUCGCAUAAUUGAAGUUAUUCUUAAAAUGACCUUCGAAGAAUUCAAGGAAUAUACAAGAAUACACAAUGCACCAGAAAUUUAUGAUGAUGAUGAAUUUCUGGGCGGAUUUUAUGAUUAUGCAAUUAAGGAGCCACAAAUAUGGCCUAUAAAUCUUUAUAUGCCGUUAAGCGCCCUAUUUGAGUUUCUCAAAUUAAAAGGUAUUACACUUUCUGAUUAUAGUUUAGAAGAUGUUACGCCAAUGCUUUUGCAUUGGAGUGAACUGGCCUGUACUACUAAUUUUGAUAACGUUAUGCGUUGGGAUUACUAUCGUUGUAAGGGUGAACAUUUAAAAGAAAAUGAAACUCUGGAUGGGUACCGUAAAUUAUUUUAUGAAAAAUGUUGGUUGCACAAUAUUUGGGUGCGGAAGUCACCAAAAGUGCAAAUAAAAAAGCAGGCCAGAGAAAUACUAGAAAAAGAAGUUGAGAGGGAAAUGGCAAAAGAAGUAGCCAGUCAGGUUGAGAAGGAAGCUAGCGCGGCUGAGGUGAGCAAUAAUGACGAAGUUGGAGAAAAAGCAGCAGUUAGCAAUAAUGAUAGCGCAAAAGUGCAGAAAGUUUUAGCAGCCAUUGAAACAGUAGCCGAAGGUGCGAUUCAGUUAGGUACUGGCAAUGUUGAGCCCCCGCAGCCCAUGAAUGUAGAGAAUUUUGGACACAUAGAUGAGGGGAACGCCGAUACGGAAAUGCAAGAUCUUGGAGAUAAACGGGAAACGCAUCAAGUAAACAAUGAUAAAGAGCACCAAGCAAUAUCGAUUGAAGAAAUUGAAGUCAUUAAGCAGGAAAGAAGUUGCGUAGUAAAAGAGUCUGCAAGAACAGAAACUGCAAUAGCGGCAUUGGAAGAAGAAACAGUCUCAGACCAAACUAUUGUAAUGGCCAAUGGAGCCACGACCGCACAGCCAUGCGUUACUGAUGCUGAAAAUUUAACAUUGACGGCGACACAGGGAGUUUUAGGUCAGCAUAUGAAUAGUGCGGAGCAAGCACGCUUACAGCAAGCAAUAGAUCUGUAUUUUGCAAAAGUUGAGAAUUCAUGUACGCUUCCUUAUCUCCUACACUAUCACAGUGGUCCAAAACGCAGAGUAAUUGCCAGUAUUCUAAAUAUGUCUUUCCCAGAGUUCAAACAAUAUACGCGUAUAUACGAAGCAGCAGAGAUUUAUGAAAAUGUAGAACUAUUAAAGCGUUGCUAUGAGCACACAAUAAAAUCACCUCAAGUGUGGCCCAUUAAUCUUUAUAUGCGUAUAUCAGAUGUCUUUCAGUACCUUAAAUCAAAGGACGUUGCACUGCCUGAAAUCGGUUUAAAGUAUAUUUCACCGAAAUUAUUCCAUUGGCGAAAUUUAAUUGCGACAACAAAUUAUGAUCAUAUAGUCAUUUGGGACUACUAUCGAAGUACUGGUAAAAAAUUCAAUCGAAGUAAUACUUUUCUUGAUCCAUAUCGACAGUCAUUUUAUAAGAAGUGUUGGUUCCAUGACAAAUGGAUAUGGUAUACGCCGAAUAUUUUAACUAAAGUAAUGAGAUGCAUAAUGAACGAGCAAAGCAUGCCGCCAGAAAAUAAUGAAAGUUCUAUUUUUGAAAGAUCAGUUGGGUUGCACGCCGUAGAGCAGGUACAGGAAACCAGCACAACUAAUGUGACUACCGAAGUUGUAGGCAGAGGUGAUGAACAAGCUGUGGCUUCGGAUUGCAAGAUGCCUAGAACUGUUGAGACGGGAAUUCAAACCUCACAGAAACUUCUUGGAGAAUAUUUAAAUUUGGGAUUGCAAGCAACUACCCGCAACGAGCCCGUAAACUUUGAAAAUCCCGCAACUACUUUUCUGCCAUGCGAAAUCAUCAAACAAGAAAAACUUGUGCCUCUCAACAAAUUGCAAUUUAAUCUAACUGAGGAUGAGGAAAAUUACGAAUGUGUGCAAGCGCCAGAUGAGAUAGUUCUUUUAGACACUACUGCUGCUUCAAGCCAGUCACAAGACAUAACGUUACAAGCUCCACUAUCGAAUUCCGAAAAUUUGGUUACACAUGAUGUCAAUGUGUUAUUCUCGAGCGGCUCCAUGGAUAUAAGUAAUUUAUGCAACUGGCCGCUAGCACCUACAGAUAGUCAAAGUCAAAAAUCGAAUGAAUUUAACACACUUCAGAACCGAACGGAAUUUAGCGAAAAUAUUGAUCAACAAAGCACUGCUGCUACAACAACAACACAACAUCAACAAAGCGAACAAGAGCAGCAGAAAGAAAGGUCACUGUCGCAAGAGCAUUGCUUGGAGGAAGUACAAACGCAGCAACAAGAGCAAACGCAGCAAAAAGAGCCAGCGCAUCAAAUUAUACAACAAUCUUCACAAAAAUUGCAAACAAAGCAACAAGCAGACCGGAUUUCGAUACAAGAAGUGCAAAUACUAUCGGGGCCACAACAAAUCUGGAAAGAUAUUGCAAAAACAAAUAAGCAAGCGAAUGCGCCUUUUGAAAUACAAAUUUCACGAUUGAAGGAGAAUCAAGCAAAAGUUCAGCAACAGGCAGACGUAAAUCUAAAGCAUUCGAAGCAUCAGCAGGCGUUACAACAACAGCAAGAACCUCCAUUAAUGCGUGUAAAGCAAGAGAGCGCGAAGACUUCAAAGCAACAAAAGCACACUGAUGCUCCAAUUGCUGUAACCCGAAUCAUUCAAGACACCAAGAAGCACCUUCAGGAAAAUCCACAAUUCGUGGAUGUUACUGAUUUACAAAUUUCCAAUAGUCAAAGUCAUCCAUCAACUAAUGAACGGCCCAGCUCGUCCCUGCAAGCACAAGUUUGGCGAAGAGAGGAGCAAAAACAAGGGACCAACCAACGAUUAGAAACACCAAUUCAGCAACAGCGAUGUAGAGACGAAGGAGAAAGCUAUCAGAAGACUCAGCAAGGGUCGCAAGGAGAAUCUCAAAUACCGCAGUUAGACAAAAGUGUAGAGCGACCGCAAGAGCAACAGAGACAAGUGCAAACUCUAGCAAAGGAACAACUAUCGCCAGUGCACCAACAAUCAUCAAACACACAGCCACAACAACAGCUAGCACAAGUUUGCGUGGAGCAACCAAUAAAGCAAGAACAAGAAAUUGAAGCACAACUGGAAGCUAUAUUUGGCGAAAGCACGGAAAUGCGGCUGCAAGAAGUUCAACCAACUGUGACGCCUCAGAUUAAAGAGACGCCAAUCAAAUUACAGUUUCAAGAGCCGCCAACUCAAUCCACCCAUGCAAUAAUCGAAUGCCAACUAGCGCAAGAACAAGCAUUGCAGGCACAUGUGAAUUGCAAUGAUUCGACAGAAGCUUAUACUAAAGUCGAGAUCAUUUCACAACAUGUGCAAUCGCAGCAACAGCAACAGGAACAGCAACCACAACUCGCCAAAACCCAAUUAAUACUGCAACGUACACACACUCAAGUGGAAGAACAGCUUAUGCUUCGAUCUUGCAGUUUGCCACAAGAGAUGGCAAUACCUGUGCAACCUCUAACCAAAUUAUCUCGGCAACGCACAGCAACAUCUACGUGCACUACAAAAACUAAAACUGUUAAAACUACAAAGGCCGCUGCUACACGAAGGGCAGUCACAAAACAAAGUGAUUUUGUACCACAAAUCACACAUAAUUUUCAACCGCUACCUAUAGCUUUGAACACAAAAAAACUGUCAACAUAUUCUGCACCAUCCAGCGUUAUCCGCUUUCCAACCGCAAGCAAUCAAACCCCAAAUAAUUUGCCAACAAAUAUAUCAACGCCAGUUCCGGGCGAACAAGUUAUUGCUGGAAAUACUAGUACUGUCGCUCUCUCUGCACCGAAUUCCAAUAUGUUGGUGUUAUCGCUACCAGCAUCUAUGCCUUCCUCAAGUUCCAACAGUAGUUCAAAUGCAUCAUUUAUCUACACGCUAAGUGGUGAUAGUACGUUUUUUAAUAGCUCUGAGUUGUUGAGGGCGAUUGAGCAUUAUCAGCUGCAGCGUAGCCAGCAACAACAGCAGCAACUACACUUACAGCAGCAGCAGCAGCAGCAGCAGCAGCAACAGCAACAGCAUCUACUACAGCCACAACAUUCACAAUUAGUUUUUGGGCAGUCACAAAUGGUUCAACUGCCACAUCCACAUAUUGAACAGCUGCAGGUGCAGCAUCCACAACAGCAACAGAGUGAAGUGUUUCUCCAUCAGCAUAUGGAACAAAAGCAACAGCAACAUAUUCAUAUAUCACAACCUUUAAUGACAGAGCACAGAUCGCAACAGCAACAGCAAAAGCAACAACAACUACAACAGCAUUUGCAGAUUUCACAUCCAUUGGCGAUCGAAUGCAGCCCACAACAACAACCGCAGCAACAUCAGCAACAACAGUUUCAAGUGGUGCCCCCGCCUCAGCCGCUUAUAUAUCAAUUAUUAGAUGUGACACAGGUAAACACUUCUACUACCACACAGCUAGAGGAUUGUAAUGCCCUUACGGCAGAAUAUCAAAUUAACCCAGAUUCCAUAUAAAAAGCGAUGCUGCUAUAGUUAUUAAAAUCUCUGGUUGCAAACAGUAGCCGUCUUAGUUGAGAUCAGUAGAACUGCACAUUCACAUGAAAUUCCUUUUUUUGUGAGGUUUGGGUUUAAUGGCCGGGAUAUUGAAAUCCACACAAUGCCAGGUUGAAUCUCCAUGAAUGUUGUAGUAUUUGGAUUUUAUAAAUGUGGCACUUGCUGUGUGUCAAGUAUUGACAACCACUUUGACAACUUUGGUUAAUGGAUGCAAUUAGAGAUAUUUUGUUAUUAUCACUUACCUCAAAUUUCAUUUCUGUGAGUAUGUCAUCUACAUCAUCUUUAGAAAAAAUUGCACCAGCUAAUGGUGUGAGCACGAUGAAGUCCUUGGUAAUCAGGGCUACAAACCACUCUAAAAAACGGGGCGGUUUGGUUCAAUGGUUCGAACCAAUUAGAAAAGCUUGUACCGCUUCAAGAACCGGAUGCAAAUACUACAAAAAUAUCAUAAAUCUACGUAUAUACAUAUAUAAAAAUAAAAGCCUUUUUUUCAGAUCAAAUUCACCUAUCCACAUGUAUAGUGGUGUAAAUUUUAUGUUUAUUGUUUUAAGUAUAAUUUGUGCAAAAAAUUUUG
This 6285-nucleotide unclassified non-coding RNA is filed under the name Rhagoletis pomonella (apple maggot). RNAcentral describes it as "uncharacterized LOC118738897, transcript variant X3". Lineage: Eukaryota; Metazoa; Arthropoda; Insecta; Diptera; Tephritidae. The record is from RNAcentral.